UUAUGUUGCCAGCACGUGAUGGUGGGGACUCGUAAGAGACUGCCGGGGUCGAACUCGGAGGAAGGUGGGGACGGACGUCAAGUCAUCAUGCCCCUUACUGUCCAGGGCUUCACACAUGCUACAAUGGCCAGUACAGAGGGCUGCGAGACCGUGAGGUGGAGCGAAUCCCUUAAAGCUGGUCUCAGUUCGGAUCGGGGUCUGCAACUCGACCCCGUGAAGUCGGAGUCGCUAGUAAUCGCAGAUCAGCAACGCUGCGGUGAAUACGUUCCCGGGCCUU
This 277-nucleotide ribosomal RNA is filed under the name uncultured Rhodococcus sp. RNAcentral's name for it is "partial 16S ribosomal RNA". It matches the Rfam family "Bacterial small subunit ribosomal RNA", at positions 1110 to 1382 of the family's 1533-position model. Lineage: Bacteria; Bacillati; Actinomycetota; Actinomycetes; Mycobacteriales; Nocardiaceae. The record is from RNAcentral.